AUUGAACGCUGGCGGCAGGCCUAACACAUGCAAGUCGAACGAGCGGCGGACGGGUGAGUAAUGUCUGGGAAACUGCCUGAUGGAGGGGGAUAACUACUGGAAACGGUAGCUAAUACCGCAUACCAUCAGAUGUGCCCAGAUGGGAUUAGCUAGUAGGUGGGGUAAUGGCUCACCUAGGCGACGAUCCCUAGCUGGGCUGAGAGGAUGACCAGCAAAACUGGACAUGAGAAACGGCCACGACUCCUACGGUAGGCGGCAGUGGGGAAUAUUGCACAAUGGGGGAAAGCCUAAUGCAGCAAUGCGGGGUGUAUGAAGAAGGCCGUCGGGUUGUAAAGUACUUUCAGCGGGGAGGCGUUACCCGCAGAAGAAGCACCGGCUAACUACGUGCCAGCAGCCGCGGUAAUAC
This 406-nucleotide ribosomal RNA is filed under the name uncultured bacterium. RNAcentral describes it as "partial 16S ribosomal RNA". It matches the Rfam family "Bacterial small subunit ribosomal RNA", at positions 29 to 526 of the family's 1533-position model. The record is from RNAcentral.